UGGCUUAGAAGCAGCCAUUCAUUUAAAGAGUGCGUAAUAGCUCACUGGUCGAGUGAAGUUGCGCGGAAAAUUACCGGGGCUAAGUUAUACACCGAAAUUGCGGAUUCAUUAAGAAAUUAAUGAGUGGUAGAGGAGCGUUCUAUACAGGAUGAAGUAUGAUCGAGAGGACAUAUGGACAGUAUAGAAGAGAGAAUGCCGGAAUGAGUAGCGAGAGCAAAGUGAGAAUCUUUGCCGUCGAAAAUCUAAGGUUUCCUGGGGAAGGUUCGUCCGCCCAGGGUAAGUCGGGACCUAAGGUGAGGCCGAAGGGCGUAGCCGAUGGACAGCAGGUUAAGAUUCCUGCACCAGUAUACAUGUAUAAUGCAUAAGAGGACACAUUUGAAGAAGGUGAGCGAGGAAGAGGAAAAACUCGUAUGGAAACAUAUAGUGAAAUCAAGUAACGAAUCAUCAAGAGGCAAGUGGCGAGAAAAGUCUUAUGUAGUUGUGUAGACUGCCCGUACCGCAAACCGACACAGGUAGAUGAGGAGAGGAUCCUAAGACGAGCGGGAGAAGCAUUGUUAAGGAACUCGGCAAAUUGACCCCGUAACUUAGGGAUAAGGGGUGCUGGUGUAAAAGCCAGUCGCAGUAAAUAGGCCCAAGCAACUGUUUAACAAAAACACAGGUUUCUGCUAAAUCGCAAGAUGAAGUAUAGGAGCUGACUCCUGCCCAGUGCUGGAAGGUUAAGGGGAAAGGUUAAGAAUAAUUCAUUAUAUCUGAAGCUUUGAACUCAAGCCCCAGUGAACGGCGGCCGUAACUAUAACGGUCCUAAGGUAGCGAAAUUCCUUGUCAGGUAAGUUCUGACCCGCACGAAAGGAGUAAUGAUUUGGGCACUGUCUCAACAAUGUACCCGGCGAAAUUGUAGUACUAGUGAAGAUGCUAGUUACCUGCGACAAGACGGAAAGACCCCAUGGAGCUUUACUAUAGCCUGAUAUUGGGCUUUGGUAUCUUAUGUACAGGAUAGGUGGGAGACUAUGAGAUUAAGACGCAAGUCUUAAAGGAGUCAACCUUGGAAUACCACCCUUAAGAUAUUAGAGUUCUAACUUGUGAUCAUAAACUGGUCAGAGGACAUUGUCAGGUGGGUAGUUUGACUGGGGCGGUCACCUCCUAAAGAGUAACGGAGGUGCGCAAAGGUUUCCUCGGCACGGUCAGAAAUCGUGCUAAUGAGUGUAAAGGCAUAAGGAAGCUUAACUGAGAGAGAGACAUCUCGACCAGAUACGAAAGUAGGUCUUAGUGAUCCGGUGGUAGAAAAUGGAAUUGCCAUCGCUCAACGGAUAAAAGUUACCCUGGGGAUAACAGGCUUAUCUCCCCCAAGAGUUCACAUCGACGGGGAGGUUUGGCACCUCGAUGUCGGCUCAUCGCAUCCUGGGGCUGGAGCAGGUCCCAAGGGUUGGGCUGUUCGCCCAUUAAAGCGGUACGCGAGCUGGGUUCAGAACGUCGUGAGACAGUUCGGUCCCUAUCUGUCGCAGGCGCAGGAUAUUUGAAAGGAGCUGUCCUUAGUACGAGAGGACCAGGAUGGACAUACCAAUGGUGCAACAGUUGUCACACCAGUGGCACAGCUGUGUAGCUAAGUAUGGAAGGGAUAAACGCUGAAAGCAUCUAAGCGUGAAGCCCCCCUUAAGAUAAGAUAUCCCACAACGUCAAGUUGGUAAGAUUCCAGUUAGACUAACUGGUUGAUAGGUUAGAGGUGUAAGUGUGGUGACACAUUUAGCUGACUAAUACUAAUAAUCGAGGGCUUAACCAA
RNAcentral lists this ribosomal RNA (1777 nucleotides) under human oral metagenome. RNAcentral's name for it is "bacterial LSU rRNA". It matches the Rfam family "Bacterial large subunit ribosomal RNA", at positions 1102 to 2925 of the family's 2925-position model. The record is from RNAcentral.